Molecule: non-coding RNA, 472 nt
Organism: Schizosaccharomyces pombe (fission yeast)
Lineage: Eukaryota; Fungi; Ascomycota; Schizosaccharomycetes; Schizosaccharomycetales; Schizosaccharomycetaceae
Source: the annotation of a GenBank genome assembly
AUAAACCCAAAAAUUCCGCCCAUCGUCGAACCAACGUUGUCUGCACCUACAACAUCUACGAGUAAAGCUAAACCGACAGUCCAUACUACAGCAGCCGAUAAACCUUGAAGUACACGAGCCACGAUCAGCAUGGGAACGCUGUUACCAAACGUCAGCAGGGCAGUUGCAGAAGUGAGAAAUAUAAGACCAAUAAGCAUAGGAACUUUUCUAGUUAAAAACUUAUCCGCCAAAAACCCAAUCGGUGAACUGGCGGCAAUGUUUGCAACAGCAUAAACAGCAAGUAGUGUAGAAAUUACGCUCUGCACCCGAUCAGGAGAAAUACCCACUCGGUCCACAAGGGAAAAUGGGAGAAUAGGAGUAAUGAUUCCAUAGAGGAAAAGGUCCGUAAACAAAGCAAUGGCUAUUGUUCCAAUGAUAAACGGAAGACUUCUGCGCUGUUUCACCCACAGCUUCAAACCCAUCGUUUCCAAUU